GGGAUUGAUGUGAAGUUUGUUUGG
This 24-nucleotide non-coding RNA is filed under the name Arabidopsis thaliana (thale cress). Lineage: Eukaryota; Viridiplantae; Streptophyta; Magnoliopsida; Brassicales; Brassicaceae. The record is from RNAcentral.